GGUUAAGCGACUAAGCGUACACGGUGGAUGCCCUGGCAGUCAGAGGCGAUGAAGGACGUGCUAAUCUGCGAAAAGCGCCGGCGAGGUGAUAUGAACCCUUGACCCGGCGAUGUCCGAAUGGGGAAACCCAGUGCAAUCCGUUGCACUAUCGUUAACUGAAUACAUAGGUUAACGAGGCGAACCGGGGGAACUGAAACAUCUAAGUACCCCGAGGAAAAGAAAUCAACCGAGAUUCCCCCAGUAGCGGCGAGCGAACGGGGAGCAGCCCGGAGUCUGAAUCAGCUUGUGUGUUAGUGGAACGGUCUGGAAAGUCCGACGGUACAGGGUGAUAGUCCCGUACACGAAAGCACACAUGCUGUGAACUCGAAGAGUAGGGCGGGACACGUGGUAUCCUGUCUGAAUAUGGGGGGACCAUCCUCCAAGGCUAAAUACUCCUGACUGACCGAUAGUGAACCAGUACCGUGAGGGAAAGGCGAAAAGAACCCCGGCGAGGGGAGUGAAAAAGAACCUGAAACCGUGUACGUACAAGCAGUGGGAGCCUCUUUAUGGGGUGACUGCGUACCUUUUGUAUAAUGGGUCAGCGACUUAUAUUCUGUAGCAAGGUUAACCGUAUAGGGGAGCCGAAGGGAAACCGAGUCUUAACUGGGCGUUAAGUUGCAGGGUAUAGACCCGAAACCCGGUGAUCUAGCCAUGGGCAGGUUGAAGGUUGGGUAACACUAACUGGAGGACCGAACCGACUAAUGUUGAAAAAUUAGCGGAUGACCUGUGGCUGGGGGUGAAAGGCCAAUCAAACCGGGAGAUAGCUGGUUCUCCCCGAAAGCUAUUUAGGUAGCGCCUCGUGAACUCAUCUUCGGGGGUAGAGCACUGUUUCGGCUAGGGGGCCAUCCCGGCUUACCAACCCGAUGCAAACUACGAAUACCGAAGAAUGUUAUCACGGGAGACACACGGCGGGUGCUAACGUCCGUCGUGAAGAGGGAAACAACCCAGACCGCCAGCUAAGGUCCCAAAGUCAUGGUUAAGUGGGAAACGAUGUGGGAAGGCACAGACAGCCAGGAUGUUGGCUUAGAAGCAGCCAUCAUUUAAAGAAAGCGUAAUAGCUCACUGGUCGAGUCGGCCUGCGCGGAAGAUGUAACGGGGCUAAACCAUGCACCGAAGCUGCGGCAGCGACACUUAUGUGUUGUUGGGUAGGGGAGCGUUCUGUAAGCCGUUGAAGGUGUGCUGUGAGGCAUGCUGGAGGUAUCAGAAGUGCGAAUGCUGACAUAAGUAACGAUAAAGCGGGUGAAAAGCCCGCUCGCCGGAAGACCAAGGGUUCCUGUCCAACGUUAAUCGGGGCAGGGUGAGUCGACCCCUAAGGCGAGGCCGAAAGGCGUAGUCGAUGGGAAACAGGUUAAUAUUCCUGUACUUGGUGUUACUGCGAAGGGGGGACGGAGAAGGCUAUGUCAGCCGGGCGACGGUUGUCCCGGUUUAAGCAUGUAGGCGGAGGUUCCAGGUAAAUCCGGUACCUUAUUAACGCUGAGGUGUGAUGACGAGGCACUACGGUGCUGAAGUGAUAAAUGCCCUGCUUCCAGGAAAAGCCUCUAAGCAUCAGGUAACACGAAAUCGUACCCCAAACCGACACAGGUGGUCAGGUAGAGAAUACCAAGGCGCUUGAGAGAACUCGGGUGAAGGAACUAGGCAAAAUGGUGCCGUAACUUCGGGAGAAGGCACGCUGAUAUGUAGGUGAAGCCCCUGCGGGCGGAGCUGAAAUCAGUCGAAGAUACCAGCUGGCUGCAACUGUUUAUUAAAAACACAGCACUGUGCAAACACGAAAGUGGACGUAUACGGUGUGACGCCUGCCCGGUGCCGGAAGGUUAAUUGAUGGGGUUAGCGGCAACGCGAAGCUCUUGAUCGAAGCCCCGGUAAACGGCGGCCGUAACUAUAACGGUCCUAAGGUAGCGAAAUUCCUUGUCGGGUAAGUUCCGACCUGCACGAAUGGCGUAAUGAUGGCCAGGCUGUCUCCACCCGAGACUCAGUGAAAUUGAACUCGCUGUGAAGAUGCAGUGUACCCGCGGCAAGACGGAAAGACCCCGUGAACCUUUACUAUAGCUUGACACUGAACACUGGUCCUUGAUGUGUAGGAUAGGUGGGAGGCUUUGAAGCGUGGACGCCAGUCUGCGUGGAGCCAACCUUGAAAUACCACCCUUUAAUGGCUGGUGUUCUAACGUGGACCCGUAAUCCGGGUUGCGGACAGUGUCUGGUGGGUAGUUUGACUGGGGCGGUCUCCUCCCAAAGAGUAACGGAGGAGCACGAAGGUUGGCUAAUCCUGGUCGGACAUCAGGAGGUUAGUGCAAUGGCAUAAGCCAGCUUGACUGCGAGCGUGACGGCGCGAGCAGGUGCGAAAGCAGGUCAUAGUGAUCCGGUGGUUCUGAAUGGAAGGGCCAUCGCUCAACGGAUAAAAGGUACUCCGGGGAUAACAGGCUGAUACCGCCCAAGAGUUCAUAUCGACGGCGGUGUUUGGCACCUCGAUGUCGGCUCAUCACAUCCUGGGGCUGAAGUAGGUCCCAAGGGUAUGGCUGUUCGCCAUUUAAAGUGGUACGCGAGCUGGGUUUAGAACGUCGUGAGACAGUUCGGUCCCUAUCUGCCGUGGGCGCUGGAGAAUUGAGGGGGGCUGCUCCUAGUACGAGAGGACCGGAGUGGACGCAUCACUGGUGUUCGGGUUGUCAUGCCAAUGGCACUGCCCGGUAGCUAAAUGCGGAAGAGAUAAGUGCUGAAAGCAUCUAAGCACGAAACUUGCCCCGAGAUGAGUUCUCCCUGAGACUUUAAGUCUCCUGAAGGAACGUUGAAGACGACGACGUUGAUAGGUCGGGUGUGUAAGCGCAGCGAUGCGUUGAGCUAACCGAUACUAAUGAACCGUGAGGCUUAACCUU
RNAcentral lists this ribosomal RNA (2906 nucleotides) under Enterobacter hormaechei. RNAcentral's name for it is "23S ribosomal RNA". It matches the Rfam family "Bacterial large subunit ribosomal RNA". The record is from RNAcentral. Lineage: Bacteria; Pseudomonadati; Pseudomonadota; Gammaproteobacteria; Enterobacterales; Enterobacteriaceae.